GCCUGUGGAAACAAAACCUGUCAUAUUGGAGAAGUCCAUCAUACAACUUCAAGUGCUUAUCUUUUGCAACCGUUUCAGCUGUGCUGAUGGGAGUAGUGCUGUGGCAGAAAGGCACGAAAAUGUAAGUCUAAGUAGAUACAUUUCUGCACUAACAAAAAUAUUGAUUAGACUGGAUAUACUAAGUUAAACUGCUUAAUGAUUGUUUCUGUUGUUCACAGCCAAGAUCAACAGGACCUAUUUAACAUACUAUCAGCCGUAUUUAUAGUAUUGCAAGUCAUAGGUACAAAUAACUGCUCUUCAGUUAUAGCAAUAGUGGCAAGUGAACGGUCCGUCUUGUACAGGGAAAUGUUCUCUGGAAUGUACUCUUCUUAUGCAUAUUCCUUCGCACAGGUCAAUAUAAAUUUCCAAGGCAAAAACAUAGAUGCUAGUACAAAUAUUAAUACAUCCAUGCCAUAUAACAAGUUUUUGUCUUCUCAAUUUCUUACUGUAGGUGUGUAUUGAAAUACCAUAUUUGUUGGUCCAAGCACUCGUGUAUUCAACUAUCACAUACUCGGCAAUGGGGUUCUAUUGGUCCAUCAGCAAGGUUGUCUGGUACUUCUAUGUUUCGUUCUUCUCACUGCUCUACUUCAGUUAUCAAGGAAUGCUUAUUGUGUCACUGAGUCCAGACAUGAAAGUUGCCUCCAUACUAGCCGUGGCCACUUACACUAUUCUUAGCCUAUUCUCAGGAUUCCUGAUACCUGGUCCGGUAAGAUACAGGUUUUGAAGUAUUAAUGUAUCUUUAGUUGCGAAAAAUACUUCCUAUAUCACUAUCUGUAUGUAAAAUGAUCUGAAAAUCAUUAUGCAGCACGAAUGCCUAACUCUUUAAGCGGAAAUUAUCAGUUUUAGGUAUCAAGUACUGCUUAAGCCUCCCGACGCCUUAGUAGGAUUAGACAAACCUAGAACAAAAUCAGGAUCCUUAAAGUUUUGAUAGACUAGAAGUAGCAAGUUGUCAUGCAUAGUUAUAUAUAGUCAAAAAAUGAUGUUUUUUUUUGUUACAUUGCAGGCAAUUCCAAAAUGGUGGGUUUGGUUAUAUUAUAUAACUCCAACCUCAUGGUUCCUGAAUGGAAUUAUCACACCACAAUAUGGGGAUAUAAAACAAGAAAUCUCUGCAUUUGGAGAAAGGAAAGCACUCACCUCUUUCUUAGAAGACUAUUUCGGGUUUCACCAUGACAGAAUUGGUCUUGUGGCUGUAAUUGUUGCCAUAUAUCCCAUUUUAUGUGCCUUUCUAUUUGCAUAUUUCAUCGGAAAACUGAAAUUUCAGAGGAGGUGAAGAAAGCAGAAGAAGGAUUUGCAUUGUAAAAUCGCAGAAAUCAUUCAACUCUGGAAGUAGUAUUUAUUUGCUUAGUUUUAUUCUUUGUAGUGCUAUAGCAUGUAAAUUAAAUUAGAAAUGUAAAAAAAAAAAAAGGAUUCUUUGUGUUGAAUAAAGAAUGUGUAAUAUGGUUAUAAGCUGAUAAUAAUAAAUCACUCAAGGUUUCUAAGAUAGGGGUGCAACAGUGCCUGUGCACAUGAUGAUGUUCACUGUUCUGAUAUUAUCUUGUGGUACUUAAAUGAACAAUUUUAAUCAAGACUGCAUAAUUAAUUCCCAGAGUUUAGGACAAACAAAUCUCUAAGAUCUUUUAACCCUAUUUAAAUAAGGGGCUGAUCCUGACAUACAUAUGUUGACAUCAUACGUUCAGCGGAAAAAAAAAAAAGCUUUAAACGGGAUUAAUCCUAAGUUUGUGAUGAUGUAUAUACAGAGGGUGCUACAAUAUCAUUCAGCGCGGAAAAUUAUCUCAUCUUAGAGUUUUUCACAUCCCGCCCUUGUUUUCCAUUUGAUGCAUGCUAGUAAUUUUACUCCUUCAAGUGUAUUCGUCGAAUCACUAUAUGCAGAUGGCUCCAACUUCCUGUAAUCUGAUAUAUAAGUAAAGCUAGUAAACUAAUACAAUGUAUACAUUCAACAACAAAAUUUUAAAAGACAAACAUAAUUCAAAACCUUAGCCUCAUCUCUCUCUCUUCUUUUUCGAGCCGUCGUCGGAGAUUUCAUCGAUUUUCACCGAUGAAAAGCUACGAAUCAGCUUAUUUCUCUUGAUUUGUUCUUGUUUUCUCAAUAAUACUCCCUACCGGAUCCGUUUCAAGAUUUAGAUCUACUCGAUUUUCAAGAUUUUGAUUUGGUGAUAAAUCAAUUGAGAUGAGUCGAUGACGAGAGCGACUGCGAUUCAAUCUUAGCCAUAGUAGUGAUUACAUAUAUUUAUAUUCGAUAAGGUAAGGAUCCUGUACGUCAAGCCAGGUGAAUCAUGCAUCAGAGCAGUGACAGAUGGGAAGGGAGUCACUUAUAUAUAUUCUCAACAAUGUUCUGGACCAGCUGCCUUUAAAUAAUUUCCAAUAAAUAAUUUUACUCCUUCAAGUGUGUUGAAAUAGAAGUCAUGUUUACACUGUUACUAUACCACAAGCAGCUGCUGUACACUAGCUUAGCUUAGUCACCUACAUAUAGCUUGUAAUAGUCAUAGUUGGUUAGGAGUUGUACACGUUCUAUUUACUUUCUUGUCUGUACUAGUUCCUAUAAAUUCCUCGUCCUAUUCUCAUGUAACCACAAUAUAGCAAUAUACAAAUUCUGUACUACUUUGCACUACUGCCUCCGCUCUCAACUUAUUCAUUCUUUCUGUUAUACACAUAUAUACACACACAUCAGUAUAUAUAUACACAUAACACAUAAGUUUCUACAUGGUAUCAGAGCUUUAAGCUCCUUACCUCCGCGUUUUAUUCUGCUGUAAUCAUCGUUCCCGGUGACAAACUCUCUCGGCCAUUAAACCAAACAGUUGGCGCAACCCAGUUUCUGACGAGUCAAC
RNAcentral lists this long non-coding RNA (2864 nucleotides) under Daucus carota (carrot). RNAcentral describes it as "long non-coding RNA (DCAR_LNC004679)". The record is from RNAcentral. Lineage: Eukaryota; Viridiplantae; Streptophyta; Magnoliopsida; Apiales; Apiaceae.